AUCAGAGUAGGAAAUAAAGCGUUAAGUGCUGAAAGGAUGGGAUGUUGCCUUUCGGACGAAGAACGAUCAUUCGUUCGCGGUUUUAUUUUCGCAUUCGCUGCAU
Non-coding RNA from Enterococcus casseliflavus EC20, 103 nucleotides. Lineage: Bacteria; Bacillati; Bacillota; Bacilli; Lactobacillales; Enterococcaceae. The record is from Rfam.